AGUCGAGCGACAGACAGGAGCUUGCUCCUUUGACGUUAGCGGCGGACGGGUGAGUAACACGUGGGUAACCUACCUAUAAGACUGGGAUAACUUCGGGAAACCGGAGCUAAUACCGGAUAAUAUUUCGAACCGCAUGGUUCGAUAGUGAAAGAUGGUUUUGCUAUCACUUAUAGAUGGACCCGCGCCGUAUUAGCUAGUUGGUAAGGUAACGGCUUACCAAGGCGACGAUACGUAGCCGACCUGAGAGGGUGAUCGGCCACACUGGAACUGAGACACGGUCCAGACUCCUACGGGAGGCAGCAGUAGGGAAUCUUCCGCAAUGGGCGAAAGCCUGACGGAGCAACGCCGCGUGAGUGAUGAAGGUCUUCGGAUCGUAAAACUCUGUUAUUAGGGAAGAACAUACGUGUAAGUAACUAUGCACGUCUUGACGGUACCUAAUCAGAAAGCCACGGCUAACUACGUGCCAGCAGCCGCGGUAAUACGUAGGUGGCAAGCGUUAUCCGGAAUUAUUGGGCGUAAANGCGCGCGUAGGCGGUUUUUUAAGUCUGAUGUGAAAGCCCACGGCUCAACCGUGGAGGGUCAUUGGAAACUGGAAAACUUGAGUGCAGAAGAGGAAAGUGGAAUUCCAUGUGUAGCGGUGAAAUGCGCAGAGAUAUGGAGGAACACCAGUGGCGAAGGCGACUUUCUGGUCUGUAACUGACGCUGAUGUGCGAAAGCGUGGGGAUCAAACAGGAUUAGAUACCCUGGUAGUCCACGCCGUAAACGAUGAGUGCUAAGUGUUAGGGGGUUUCCGCCCCUUAGUGCUGCAGCUAACGCAUUAAGCACUCCGCCUGGGGAGUACGACCGCAAGGUUGAAACUCAAAGGAAUUGACGGGGACCCGCACAAGCGGUGGAGCAUGUGGUUUAAUUCGAAGCAACGCGAAGAACCUUACCAAAUCUUGACAUCCUUUGACAACUCUAGAGAUAGAGCCUUCCCCUUCGGGGGACAAAGUGACAGGUGGUGCAUGGUUGUCGUCAGCUCGUGUCGUGAGAUGUUGGGUUAAGUCCCGCAACGAGCGCAACCCUUAAGCUUAGUUGCCAUCAUUAAGUUGGGCACUCUAAGUUGACUGCCGGUGACAAACCGGAGGAAGGUGGGGAUGACGUCAAAUCAUCAUGCCCCUUAUGAUUUGGGCUACACACGUGCUACAAUGGACAAUACAAAGGGCAGCGAAACCGCGAGGUCAAGCAAAUCCCAUAAAGUUGUUCUCAGUUCGGAUUGUAGUCUGCAACUCGACUACAUGAAGCUGGAAUCGCUAGUAAUCGUAGAUCAGCAUGCUACGGUGAAUACGUUCCCGGGUCUUGUACACACCGCCCGUCACACCACGAGAGUUUGUAACACCCGAAGCCGGUGGAGUAACCAUUGGAGCUAGCCGUCGAAGGUGG
Molecule: ribosomal RNA, 1422 nt
Filed under: Staphylococcus haemolyticus
Lineage: Bacteria; Bacillati; Bacillota; Bacilli; Caryophanales; Staphylococcaceae
Description: 16S ribosomal RNA
Rfam family: Bacterial small subunit ribosomal RNA
Source: RNAcentral